Molecule: transfer RNA, 72 nt
Filed under: Chloroflexota bacterium
Lineage: Bacteria; Bacillati; Chloroflexota
Description: Chloroflexi bacterium tRNA-Arg
Rfam family: tRNA
About the family: Transfer RNA (tRNA) molecules are approximately 80 nucleotides in length. Their secondary structure includes four short double-helical elements and three loops (D, anti-codon, and T loops).
Source: RNAcentral
GCCCCUGUAGCUCAGAGGAUAGAGCGUUGGCCUCCGAAGCCAAAAGCCCUGGUUCGAGUCCAGGCAGGGGCA